This 593-nucleotide unclassified non-coding RNA is filed under the name Hevea brasiliensis (rubber tree). The record is from RNAcentral. Lineage: Eukaryota; Viridiplantae; Streptophyta; Magnoliopsida; Malpighiales; Euphorbiaceae.
UCUCUUAAUUCUUGAUUACAUACUUGAUUUAAGUUAGAAUUUGUAAGAAAAUGGAAUGAAAUUCAUAUGUAUGUAAACCCUUAAAUUUCAGCAGCCAAGAGAGGGUGAGGGUUUUGAGGGUUUACUUGCAAUUAAGCUUGUAUAUUAAUGUCAAUUAAUGUGUAUACAUGAAGUGGAGUUGAAAUUUUAUGAGUUUGCAUGAGAUUGAGACUUUGAUCAAUUAGGGUUUGUGAUAAAUUAGGGGUUGUUGUGUUUUGAUGCUUAAUUAGAAUUCUAAUGGUUAAUUAGUUACCUUUUGAUAUGGUAUGACCUCAAAAUAAAAUUGUUUGUGGCAUUGCAAAUUGAUUUGGUUUGCUGCCCCUAUGGUGCCAUAUUUUCUGGACUUGAGUCCAGUGUGGUUGGGUUAUAAUAAUUAGACUUGUGUAGCUCCAAUUAGUGCAAGGCCAAUUGGAGGUGAAAUUUGACAUAUAAAGCCACAUUUUUUAUGAAGAAACCCUGCCCAGAAAAUCAACUUAGGAUGACCUAAAAUCUGCCUCAAUCCGGGUAACCAACCUGCUAGACCUGUAAAUUGACCAAAUGAACAGUAUUUGUUC